CAAGUGCUUUUAGGUCUGGUUUACUCUGAAUCAACAGAAUGUGCAAUCUAAUUACCUAAUCCAUUCUGACAAUCAGAAAAAGAAAUGCGGUGAACAGCUCGAUUGAUUCCAUGAGGGCCCAUAAUUGUCCUACGAAAUAAAAUAAAAAUCAUUAAAUCUCUAAUGCCAUAUAUGCAUAUAAAGCUAUGUUAAUACAGAAGAAAUUACAGUGACCAUGUUUUUACCUCUAAUACAAACCAAAACUAGUCUUCUUGACUGUCAACUUUACAUUAUUUGAUACUUUUGUGCCACCCCUCCAUCCAAUGAAAACUCAAUCUGUUCAUCAUAAAUAUGAGAUAAGGGUAAAAUAAAGUAUGCUUAGUUUAUUUCCAUUCUCCCCAAAGUUUAUUUCCAUUCUCCCCAAAGAACUUCAGGCAGAAUUCUGAAUCCCACUUAUAGUGAAAGGAUUUUGAUUAAAUAGAAGCAAAAUUCCAUGACCUGGUCCAGCUUAAUGUUUAGGCAAGAAAAACACAUCAUAACAUCUCGGAUCAGUUAAUGAAUACUAAGACAGAACCACAGCUAAGAAAGUGCAUACAAAAACAUUUGCUAAAAUAUCUAACAUAAAACUUUGUGGUUAUUCAUGAAUGUAAGCUUUUCCCUCCAGUCUUUCAUUUCUUAUUCAACACUGUUCUGUUUAUAAAGGCUUCUUUCCAAAUGUUAUUGCCUGCUCCUCUGUGUACCCUCCAACCCCAGGUCAGAAUUCCAGGAUGGCACCUGCAGCUGUCUGAAGGCAGAUGAGCAUUUUGUAUGCACGUGAUAAUGGGAAAGAAUUAAAUAAGUAUACAAGGCUAGAAAAACACCAUCAGAACCCAAAGGUUAAGCAUACCAGUAUAAGAGAGAAAGACCAUCGAAACGCUCCGGUUCGUCUUCAUCUCCUGGUGAGAGCAAGGACAUUCUUCAGUACAGCAACCAAAAUACACUGGAGGUUUCCAGUUCAACGGGAUAAAGGUUACCAGCAGGACAAUUUCUGCUACUAACCAAAAAAACAAGUCAAACAGACAGAGCCCGAGACGAGUGUCUCUGCCUACUUAAUCUUCUCUGAAACCCUCUGCGUCACAUAGGCUAAUUCAGCUAUCCAGGCAAUGUUUACUUUUUCUGUUUGAAAUAGCAAUUUGUAGCAACUUUAAAGACUUAUAAAUGCAGAGGAGGGAAAAAUUACUUGCAUUUAUUAAAACUGGGAUUAUGCAAUCUAUAGCUAACAGCAAGCAGAUGAAAUAAUUAAACUUAUUUAUUCAUGUUCUUCCAGUUAUUUAUUUACAUGCUCCCUACAAACAAGGUCACAAGAAAUAACUUAUGACCUUUCCAAAGCAACCUGCCUAGCAGGCUGGGUUAUAUACAUCCGCACACAAAAGGGAAAGCCCACAAAGCAGACAGACUGAAAGCAUUAAGCAAAUGCCAUUAUGCUAUUACUUGGCAUUCUCAGUUACAGUACUGACUUGUGGCAUGCUUUAACUUGGUUUUUAGCCUUUCAGUAUCCAACAGUCAGAAGUUUACACAGAACUUGGGCUAUAUAUUUUCAGUAGAAAUGGACACUGACAUGCUUGUUUUUUGUGAAAGCAGGUAAAAUUGGUACAAAAAAUGACUGCAUUUUGUUACAUAUCCUAAUGAUUUUUAAAGCAUGAGCAGGUGAACAGUAGAUAUGAUUCUCUAAGUCCCAUUUUCCUAGAAAUUAUCCGUGAACUUCAUUUCUGAGGCUUAUUCUUUUAAAUAUAAAGCAUUUUAACUUCCUAGUGAACGCUCAGAAUUGGCAUUCUUAAUCUAAAUGAGCCUCAAAAACAGUCCCCUACAUUUCAAUGCCUACUUCCAAAAAUCCUUUGUCCUUGAGCAACCAAAAAAGCCACAAAGCUUUGCAGUGCCUUCUUAUUUCAACAAACCCAAUGGAACAUCAGAAAAACAGCUGAAGGAAUGAUUUUCUGUAGUUGCAUUGAGAAUAGUUCCAAAAAUAAAAACUACACAAUUAUUUCCAGAGGUAAGACUGUUCUGACCUGAGGCUUGGUCUUUGCAGACACAUGCAUGUUUUUGGAAGUUCUGAGCUUCUCACAGCAGUUUAAUUACCUACUGUUUUCUUUCACAUUUAUAGCACAGUUUACACUCCCAUUACUGCCCUGUUUUCUAAAAGAUCUUAAAAAAAUUGCAUUUUAAAAUGAAAACCAAAUAUUCUGUGCUCACUAAGGCCUUUAAAUAGAAAGAUGAAUCCUGUCUAAAGCAGGGAGUAAACCUGUGAUGAGACAGCAUCUGUCAGCGUCUAGAGCCUCACAGUGGGACAGCUUGGCUAUGCAAGGAAUGCAUAUGCUUAGCUAAUGCACUGUGUUUUUUUUUUUUUAAAGUUGUAGUAACUGUGUUUUUAUUAGCAUGUAAUCAUUCUGAGAAAACACUAUUUGUGCUUAUAAGCAAUGUGCUAUGUGGUGUUCAAGAAUUUUGAGGUCAGUCCCUAGUGUCUGCAAUCCAUGACAAGCAGAAAGGUGACGUGACCUAGAAGAGACAGAGGCAAAGUCCAGAGAUGGAAAUGGGAAAAUGGGAACAUAAAAGCAGCCCUCCCGAUGCCCGCAAAGUGAAGGACUCCCACUGGCCUCAUUUGGAGUGCUCACAUACAUUUAGUGAUGAAAACGUGUGCCUUCGUAGUCUUUCCUAAAUCAGUUUAAUUCUACUAGUGCCUCUGGUGUUAGUCCAAAGAAGGAAAAGUCACUGAUAUUUUAAGCAUCGUAUCAAUUUGAUUAGCUCCAGGCAAAGUUACAGAAGACAGCCAGUAAAAUACCAACAGCUCCCCUACCACAAAAUUUUAAUUGUUCUUAACACCAGUGGAGUUCAAUUUGUGGUAUCAGUAUAUAGAGCAUUUGUCAAAACAAAUCACUCAGAACAAUGUAGCUUUCUCACAGUGUCAUGCUUUUUGCAAAAAACACACACACACACAUAAAAAUAUGACUCAAGGCUAUGCGUUCCCAUUAUUAAAAAAUAAAAAUUGAUUUUUAUUAAACCAGACAUGACAAACUUCCCAACAAUAUAUGCAUAUAUAAAGUAGCAUUAACCUCCCCAUUCAAAUUACAUUCAAAUUCAAAUUACUGUUUACUCCUAGAAGGAGCCUGGAACACAGUAACGCUAAAAAAAAAACACAAAACCAAAAAACAAACAAAACCAAACAAAAACAACAACAGCACACCAUAAAAUCUAGUACUUGCCAACAAGACUAAAUUAUUUGUUAUUUGUGCAGCAAGCAGACCAAGAUUUGUUUUCAAACAGUGAGUAAACUAUUCUCUUUGGCAACAUUAUUAAUUAUGACUCACCUUUCCCAAAAGAAAUUUUGUAAUGCUUUAGCAACCGAGACAAAUUACAGGAUAAUUUAGUAGACAGUAAAAAACAUCUGCACAAUCUUUUGUAGCAAGAUUCAUAAGAUCAUUAAUCAUAAGUAAAAAAGGUCUUUCACGAAAACCCAAUACAAGUGAGUUAUGCAACCAUAACCUUUCAGGUUCACAAAUCCUGAAAGGUGAAAAUUUGUUAUGACACAGCCAACAGACAGCAUGAACAAACACUUUCUUCUGAUCUAUCCCAAAACACUAAUUAUUCGAAAAUGUAUUUUGCUGAUUAGGUCAUAAAGAUUAAAAGAAAACAUGUAUCAUUAGGUGGCAGUUGUUAAACAUGAAAAAAAAAAAAAGCUUGAGCAACCUUGUAAUUAAGUAGAAACAUUAAUGGUUUGAGGCUAACCCCUUGCGUAGAGAAAAAAUGUAUUAUUUAAAGUUUAGGUAAGCCUCAGUUAACAUCUAAUCAACUACAUUCUUAAAGCAUUGUACAUUGAUAUUGGCUCCCAGACGAGAAAAAAAAGUAUAGAAAAUCAGUCUCACAUCACGAUGUAACUCAAGUAUGGUUUUGUGCACCAAUUUCAUGUUAAGUUCUUAUUUGAUAAACUGCUUUUGGAAUACAGUGAUCUAGCGAUCUAAUUAUACAAUAUACCUUGCAUACGAACCUAGCAAAACAUAGCUGUUUUAGAGAUUUACCUUUGUAUUACACACCCUGUAUUCCAUGACAAUCAGAGCAAUUGCAUCUUCAAAUCCCAG
This 4088-nucleotide long non-coding RNA is filed under the name Anas platyrhynchos (mallard). RNAcentral describes it as "lncRNA (ENSAPLG00020013760.1)". Lineage: Eukaryota; Metazoa; Chordata; Aves; Anseriformes; Anatidae. The record is from RNAcentral.